GCCCCCAUCGUCUAGUGGCCCAGGACAGGUGGUUCUCAGCCAUCAGACACGGGUUCGAAUCCCGUUGGGGGUA
This 73-nucleotide transfer RNA is filed under the name Pseudomonadota bacterium. Its description in RNAcentral is "tRNA-Glu". It matches the Rfam family "tRNA". From Rfam's summary of the family: Transfer RNA (tRNA) molecules are approximately 80 nucleotides in length. Their secondary structure includes four short double-helical elements and three loops (D, anti-codon, and T loops). RNAcentral also lists the same sequence under 1 other name. The record is from RNAcentral. Lineage: Bacteria; Pseudomonadati; Pseudomonadota.